Molecule: ribosomal RNA, 429 nt
Filed under: Bacteroidota bacterium
Lineage: Bacteria; Pseudomonadati; Bacteroidota
Description: Bacteroidetes bacterium partial 16S ribosomal RNA
Rfam family: Bacterial small subunit ribosomal RNA
Source: RNAcentral
UAGGGAAUCUUCGGCAAUGGGGGGAACCCUGACCGAGCAACGCCGCGUGAGUGAAGAAGGUUUUCGGAUCGUAAAGCUCUGUUGUUAAGGAAGAACGAGUGUGAGAAUGGAAAGUUCAUGCUGUGACGGUACUUAACCAGAAAUGGACGGCUAACUACGUGCCAGCAGCCGCGGUAAUACGUAGGUCCCGAGCGUUGUCCGGAUUUAUUGGGCGUAAAGCGAGCGCAGGCGGUUAGAAAAGUCUGAAGUGAAAGGCAGUGGCUCAACCAUUGUAGGCUUUGGAAACUGUUUAACUUGAGUGCAGAAGGGGAGAGUGGAAUUCCAUGUGUAGCGGUGAAAUGCGUAGAUAUAUGGAGGAACACCGGUGGCGAAAGCGGAUCUCUGGUCUGUAACUGACGCUGAGGCUCGAAAGCGUGGGGAGCGAACAGG